This 30-nucleotide non-coding RNA is filed under the name Mus musculus (house mouse). Lineage: Eukaryota; Metazoa; Chordata; Mammalia; Rodentia; Muridae. The record is from RNAcentral.
UCCAAAAUUGUUACUUUGUAGGUUUUGCCU